GACGAACGCUGGCGGCGUGCCUAAUACAUGCAAGUCGAACGCUGAAGGAGGAGCUUGCUUCUCUGGAUGAGUUGCGAACGGGUGAGUAACGCGUAGGUAACCUGCCUGGUAGCGGGGGAUAACUAUUGGAAACGAUAGCUAAUACCGCAUAACAGUAGAUAUCGCAUGAUAUCUACUUGAAAGGUGCAAUUGCAUCACUACCAGAUGGACCUGCGUUGUAUUAGCUAGUUGGUGAGGUAACGGCUCACCAAGGCGACGAUACAUAGCCGACCUGAGAGGGUGAGCGGCCACACUGGGACGGAGACACGCCCCAGACUCCUACGGGAGGCAGCAGUAGGGAAUCUUCGGCAAUGGACGGAAGUCUGACCGCGCAGCGCCGCGUGAGUGAAGAAGGUUGUCGGAUCGUAAAGCUCGGUUGUAAGGGAAGAACGAGUGUGAGAGUGGAAAGUUCACACUGUGACGGUAUCGUACCAGAAAGGGACGGCUAACUACGUG
RNAcentral lists this ribosomal RNA (495 nucleotides) under uncultured bacterium. RNAcentral describes it as "partial 16S ribosomal RNA". It matches the Rfam family "Bacterial small subunit ribosomal RNA", at positions 28 to 507 of the family's 1533-position model. The record is from RNAcentral.